GCUCUUGUAGCUUAGUUGGUUAAAGCACCCGUUUAGUAAGCGGGAGGUCUUGAGUUCAACUGUCAAUAAGAGCA
Molecule: transfer RNA, 74 nt
Organism: Ipomoea nil (Japanese morning glory)
Lineage: Eukaryota; Viridiplantae; Streptophyta; Magnoliopsida; Solanales; Convolvulaceae
Rfam family: tRNA
About the family: Transfer RNA (tRNA) molecules are approximately 80 nucleotides in length. Their secondary structure includes four short double-helical elements and three loops (D, anti-codon, and T loops).
Source: Rfam